UACAUGGGGUGCAAACGUUGCUCGGAAUUAUUGGGCGUAAAGCGCGCGUAGGCGGUCGGCUAUGUCGGAUGUGAAAGCCUCGGGCUUAACCCGAGAAGGGCAUCCGAAACUGGCUGGCUUGAGUAUGGAAGAGGGUCUCGGAAUUCCCGGUGUAGAGGUGAAAUUCGUAGAUAUCAGGAGGAACACCGGUGGCGAAGGCGGGACUCUGGGCCGAUACUGACGCUGAGGAGCGAAAGCGUGGGGAGCGAACAGG
RNAcentral lists this ribosomal RNA (253 nucleotides) under uncultured bacterium. RNAcentral's name for it is "partial 16S ribosomal RNA". It matches the Rfam family "Bacterial small subunit ribosomal RNA", at positions 524 to 776 of the family's 1533-position model. The record is from RNAcentral.